GACGAACGCUGGCGGCGUGCUUAACACAUGCAAGUCGAGCGGUAAGGCCCUUUCGGGGGUACACGAGCGGCGAACGGGUGAGUAACACGUGGGUGACCUGCCCUUAGCUCUGGGAUAAGCCUGGGAAACUGGGUCUAAUACCGGAUAUGACUCCAUGACGCAUGUUGUGGGGUGGAAAGCCUUGUGCGGCUAGGGAUGGGCCCGCGGCCUAUCAGCUUGUUGGUGGGGUGAUGGCCACCAAGGCGACGACGGGUAGCCGGCCUGAGAGGGCGACCGGCCACACUGGGACUGAGACACGGCCCAGACUCCUACGGGAGGCAGCAGUGGGGAAUCUUGCGCAAUGGGCGAAAGCCUGACGCAGCGACGCCGCGUGAGGGAUGACGGCCUC
This 388-nucleotide ribosomal RNA is filed under the name uncultured bacterium. RNAcentral describes it as "bacterial SSU rRNA". It matches the Rfam family "Bacterial small subunit ribosomal RNA", at positions 28 to 418 of the family's 1533-position model. The record is from RNAcentral.